AUGGGACUCAGGAGACAGGAGGCAGGGGGAGGCCUGGGGGGUGGGGGCGGCCGCCGGGCAUCUGGGCCUCUCCCUCCCCUGGCACCACCGCACCCCGCACCCCUCCCACACACACCCUCGCCGGAAAGUUCCCCAGCCCAGGCCGGGCUCCCAGGCAGCUUGGCACCGUGCCAGGCUCGCCGCCGAGCGCGGGCAGCCGGGUGGGGCGAGCGGCGGCGGCACCGAGGACAUGGCCGGGCGCCCUGGGCGCGAGCAGGACCCAAGGCCAGGAGGCCGGGGCCCAGAAGAAGGCGGCUGGUCCCAGAGCACCUCGGAGAAAGCGGACGCCUGUCUUGGCCUUUGGAAGACGCUCAAGGACCACGUGGCCGGGUCCACGGUCUCUGCCCUGCGCCUCGAGGGCGAGGCAGCCCAGGUCUUGCCCUUCUUGCCGUCCACUUCGCCCCCAGCCGACGCCUGGAGCUUGAGGUGACUGAGCGCUCUCAGGCCAGCUCGGCCCUGGACCUGCUCGGCUCUGGACCUGCCCAUCUCCGUCAACGCACGAGGCCCCCGUGCCCCAGGUCAAGAAGUGGCGCCAAGGGGGGAGCUUCUGUCCGAGGCCAGCCUUCCUUCCGGCUGGACUUGGCCUGCACGAGCCACGGUCUGUGUCGCAGGGUGUCUGGAUGGAAGAGCAGCACUGGGCCCCGUCUCCCUCUCCGCCCUGAGGACCCGCCGUUCCUGGCUCCCAGGCAGGUGCGCCUGCCCCCCUCCCAACCCCAGGCUCACCCUGCCCCCUUCUCUCCACCCGGCCGGGCGCCAGCCCUCGACCUGCUGCCAGCUGUCAACAUGCGACGCACACAGGUGAGUGUUACCCGGGGCAGGAAAGGCUGGAUGAGGAGAACCAGUGACAUCUGCUUCUCCCAGACGGGGCUGGGGGCACCGGGGGCUUGCGGUGACGGCCGGGGUGGCCCAGGGUGUGUGAGUGUACGUCUGUGUGCUAUUUCUCCCCCCGCCCCCGCCCCCCGCCUCUCCUGA
RNAcentral lists this long non-coding RNA (1011 nucleotides) under Sus scrofa (pig). RNAcentral's name for it is "lncRNA (ENSSSCG00055029012.1, ENSSSCG00065041297.1)". Lineage: Eukaryota; Metazoa; Chordata; Mammalia; Artiodactyla; Suidae. The record is from RNAcentral.